CCGGGGACCUUCUCCAUCGGCGUUGCGGCCGCUGGGAGGCGGCUCUCAAAAGUUCAGAGUUGGCAAACCGCAGCUCUGGGCCAUCCGGCAAGCCGAAGGUGCCGCUCGAGUUCAAGGACUUCGAGCCGCCACCUGAGGCCACCACAACAAAAACUGCCGGACCAUUCUCUAUUAAAGUUUCUUCUUCAUCCUUCGUAGGAUUGCUGUUGCAUAUAUUGCCCGACACCAAACCGAAGAAGUUGUCGAUCACUUUGGACUUUUCUCAAACAGGGUGUUGUCCGGUGAUUGAAUUUCUCUUCACACAAGGACAGAUUGUGAAGGAGAUAUUGUAAACUAUCAGCAGCAGUAGAGAACGAGGCACAAAGAAUAAAGGAAAUUGAUGGA
Molecule: long non-coding RNA, 384 nt
Organism: Dermacentor andersoni
Lineage: Eukaryota; Metazoa; Arthropoda; Arachnida; Ixodida; Ixodidae
Source: RefSeq, a predicted model, not a curated record